AACGAACGCUGGCGGCAUGCCUAACACAUGCAAGUCGAACGAGACCUUCGGGUCUAGUGGCGCACGGGUGCGUAACGCGUGGGAAUCUGCCCUUGGGUACGGAAUAACAGUUAGAAAUGACUGCUAAUACCGUAUAAUGACUUCGGUCCAAAGAUUUAUCGCCCAGGGGAUGAGCCCGCGUAGGAUUAGCUUGUUGGUGAGGUAAAGGCUCACCAAGGCGACGAUCCUUAGCGGUCUGAGAGGAUGAUCAGCCACACUGGGACUGAGACACGGCCCAGACUCCUACGGGAGGCAGC
This 296-nucleotide ribosomal RNA is filed under the name uncultured bacterium. RNAcentral describes it as "partial 16S ribosomal RNA". It matches the Rfam family "Bacterial small subunit ribosomal RNA", at positions 29 to 352 of the family's 1533-position model. The record is from RNAcentral.